AGAAAGGUGAGUGUGAAAGAGGAGUGUGGAGAGGGAAGGUAAAAAGUUGACGGAAGGCUGAAGGAUAGAGGAGAAAAGAGGGAGAAAGAAAGCAAAAAGGAGACAAGGAGAUUGUGAAGGAAAAGAAUAGUUAAGGAAGGUGAAAGAUAGAGGUGAGGGCAGGAGAGUGAGCGUAAGAUAGGAAGGGAAGGUGAAAAAAGAAAGGAAGAGAAGGUGAUGAUAAAAAAGGUAGGGAAGGAGAAAAGGAAGGAAUGGAAGGAAAGAGUGGGACGUUGAGAAGGUGAAAACGACAAAAAGAAGUGUGAGGAAAAGAGAAGAGGAAAGGAAGGGAAGAUGAGGAUAGAAAAGGUAGGGAAGGUGAGAAAAAAGGAAGGAAUGGAAGGAAAGAGUGGGACGUUAAGAGUAGAGAAGGUGAAAACAACAAAAAGGAGUGUGAGGAAAAGGGAAGAGGAAAAAAAAAAUGGUGAACAAUGAGAAAAGGAGAAUAAAAGAGGAAAGAAAAGGAGAGGGAGAA
Molecule: long non-coding RNA, 514 nt
Organism: Eriocheir sinensis (Chinese mitten crab)
Lineage: Eukaryota; Metazoa; Arthropoda; Malacostraca; Decapoda; Varunidae
Exons: 2
Source: RefSeq, a predicted model, not a curated record